UAAAGUUAUAGUGUUAAUAAUAGUUUGUAACUAGAUUGCUUUUCUAUAGAUACUAUAUUGUAAGCCAUCUCAAAAGUCAAUAAAAUAUUUAAAACAUUACUUCUAGAGCCUGCCCUCCAUCCUAGUUUAUGGAACACUUCCCUACCACCAUCCAGUUCUGUUGUUUUUAUUAUUAACCCCAUUUAUAAUAAUCUACUUGAAUUUUGUUUGAAUCUUGUUUUAUUUCCUUUGGACUUUUCAGAUGAAAUCUCUGGUGCUCAAUAAAUGCAAAUAACAGGGUAACACAUGUGUCAAAGGAGGGUGCUUUAAUAAAUUAUUGUAAAUUUAGGGAGAAUUAAUUCACCCAUCUUCCAAAGAAAGGCAGUGUUUUUCAGUAACUGAUUUUGCUGGAAAAAACCUGAAGACAACAAAAGAAAUUAAAAUUAAACUAAACUAAAACUAAAAUCAUUUCCAAUUAUGUUGAUGGCUGUAGCUACAAUAAUGUUGUAGUUACCAUGUGUUUGGUACGUGGUUUGAUAAAAAGAUUUCUGGUACUUUUUAUCUAAGGAUCUUAAUAUGUUUUAUAGGUUUUCUUCUCAUAGUGGAUCUACUGGAGUUUAUACUGUCCUGAUUCUUCAGAACAAGAGGAAUAGACACAACCAGAAGUCACAUCCGGGAAGUACGAUGUUUAAUUUCAUGUGUCGAAUUUACUGAACGAUGAGGUGCCCGGGUACUUGGGCAAGCUUUAUUCUGGGUAUUUCUGAGAGUGUUUUGGGGUGAAAUUGCCAUUUAAAUCUGUAACUGGGAAAGGAAAUUGCCUCCCUCACGUGGGAGGGCCUCCUCCUAGCAGCCGCGGGCCUGGCUAGCACAACGCCUGCCCAUCCCAGAGGAAGAGGGAAUUCUCCGGCCCGAUGGACUCUGGACCAGGAUGUGGACUCUUGCUGCUGUUGAGACUUGCACUGGGAAUCAGCUCUGCACAUUUCAGACUGCCUAACCCUCCAUGACGGUGCCCAGAGCAAUUGUUCUAUUCUUACUUUGAGAUCAGCUUCAGCUCCUGGAGACUCUUUCGAGGAGGUCACUAUCAAUCACGCUGGUUACUCUUCACACUUAGAGCAGCACCCCACCUCUGAGAAGGCUUGCAAGGCCCCCAGGAUCUGCCCACGGCCAUCUCCCUCACUGCACUCACACGAGGCUCUGCUUACCUGCCUUCCGCUGCCACGGCUUCCUGCCUCUUCUUCAGUGGAUCAAGCGCGUUCCCGCCUUGGUGCUUGCGGGCUCCCCCGAGGGCCUUUCCUCAGCUGGUAGCCGGCUCAGUCUGUCUUCCUCGGAGUCUCAGUGAGUGCCAUCCUCUUAGAAAGCCCUAGAAAGCAGCUUCCCUCCUGUACACAGAACUCCGUUUUGGUUUUCCUGCAGCCCUUGCUGCCGCGAUCAAGACCUGUGGUUGCUUGCUUGUUGUCUGUUUCUCUCCAUGGAAUGUCAGCUCCAUGGCACCAAGGUCCUUGGCAGGGAGCUGGAAGUUAAAAUGGGUCAUGCUGGAGCGACCAAAAGAAGGAUGGCGAGAAGUGGAAAUAAAGAGGCAAAUAAAGCCGUGGAGGUCACACCAGGAAGGAAGCCUGGCAGCUUUCCCGGCGGUGAAGAUGGUCAACCGAGGGUGCGCGACGGGACGUUCUGGACCCGCAGUGUGUGGUAACUUGGGAGAGUCCUGCGCUGGACCUGACUAAGGAAAACAAGGCUGACAGAGGAAGGGACGGGAAGCCGCUGCCUCUUGCCAGGCCUCCCAAGGCUGACGACUUUCACGUUUACAGGGAUGCAUCCUCCGACAGGGGUGGUGGGGAAGUGAGCUGUAAUUUCUGCAGCCGCUGGUAAGACCCCUGCGUCGGGUACUGUCUUUCCACGCCUUUCAAACAGAAAUCUGUAAUCAUUUUUUAAAAAUUAAACUUUUUUGGCAAACAAAUAAUAUAUUCAAAAAAGUGCAUACCAUCAAGCC
Molecule: long non-coding RNA, 1966 nt
Organism: Chinchilla lanigera (long-tailed chinchilla)
Lineage: Eukaryota; Metazoa; Chordata; Mammalia; Rodentia; Chinchillidae
Exons: 3
Source: RefSeq, a predicted model, not a curated record